Molecule: ribosomal RNA, 512 nt
Filed under: uncultured bacterium
Lineage: Bacteria
Description: bacterial SSU rRNA
Rfam family: Bacterial small subunit ribosomal RNA
Source: RNAcentral
CUGGCGGCGUGCCUAAUACAUGCAAGUCGAACGCACUCUCGUUUAGAUUGAAGGAGCUUGCUCCUGAUUGAUAAACAUUUGAGUGAGUGGCGGACGGGUGAGUAACACGUGGGUAACCUGCCCUAAAGUGGGGGAUAACAUUUGGAAACAGAUGCUAAUACCGCAUAAAACCCAACACCGCAUGGUGUAGGGUUGAAAGAUGGUUUCGGCUAUCACUUUAGGAUGGACCCGCGGUGCAUUAGUUAGUUGGUGAGGUAAAGGCUCACCAAGACCGUGAUGCAUAGCCGACCUGAGAGGGUAAUCGGCCACACUGGGACUGAGACACGGCCCAGACUCCUACGGGAGGCAGCAGUAGGGAAUCUUCCACAAUGGACGAAAGUCUGAUGGAGCAACGCCGCGUGAGUGAAGAAGGUUUUCGGAUCGUAAAACUCUGUUGUUGGAGAAGAAUGUAUCUGAUAGUAACUGAUCAGGUAGUGACGGUAUCCAACCAGAAAGCCACGGCUAACUACGUG